RNAcentral lists this ribosomal RNA (459 nucleotides) under Salmonella enterica. Its description in RNAcentral is "bacterial SSU rRNA". It matches the Rfam family "Bacterial small subunit ribosomal RNA", at positions 1 to 456 of the family's 1533-position model. Lineage: Bacteria; Pseudomonadati; Pseudomonadota; Gammaproteobacteria; Enterobacterales; Enterobacteriaceae. RNAcentral also lists the same sequence under 1 other name. The record is from RNAcentral.
AAAUUGAAGAGUUUGAUCAUGGCUCAGAUUGAACGCUGGCGGCAGGCCUAACACAUGCAAGUCGAACGGUAACAGGAAGCAGCUUGCUGCUUCGCUGACGAGUGGCGGACGGGUGAGUAAUGUCUGGGAAACUGCCUGAUGGAGGGGGGUAACUACUGGAAACGGUGGCUAAUACCGCAUAACGUCGCAAGACCAAAGAGGGGGACCUUCGGGCCUCUUGCCAUCAGAUGUGCCCAGAUGGGAUUAGCUUGUUGGUGAGGUAAUGGCUCACCAAGGCGACGAUCCCUAGCUGGUCUGAGAGGAUGACCAGCCACACUGGAACUGAGACACGGUCCAGACUCCUACGGGAGGCAGCAGUGGGGAAUAUUGCACAAUGGGCGCAAGCCUGAUGCAGCCAUGCCGCGUGUAUGAAGAAGGCCUUCGGGUUGUAAAGUACUUUCAGCGGGGAGGAAGGUGUUG